RNAcentral lists this ribosomal RNA (480 nucleotides) under Blastocystis sp. 353.3. RNAcentral's name for it is "SSU rRNA". It matches the Rfam family "Eukaryotic small subunit ribosomal RNA", at positions 460 to 953 of the family's 1831-position model. Lineage: Eukaryota; Bigyra; Opalinata; Blastocystidae. The record is from RNAcentral.
GGAGGUAGUGACAAUAAAUCACAAUGCGGAACUUUUAGUUUUGCAAUUGGAUUGAGAACAAUGUACAAAUGUUAUCGAUAAACAAUUGGAGGGCAAGUCUGGUGCCAGCAGCCGCGGUAAUUCCAGCUCCAAUAGCGUAUAUUAACGUUGUUGCAGUUAAAAAGCUCGUAGUUGAAAUGUGGGAUGAAGUAUAUAAUGAAUUUCUAAUUCAAUUCUAUAUUGAUUCCCCUCUCCAAUUUAUUAUUAUGGGUAUUAAUUUAUUUGUAAUAAGAAUUGGUCAUUUACUGUGAGAAAAUUAGAGUGUUCAAAGCAGGCAUUUGCUUGAAUAGAUUAGCAUGGAAUAAUACUAAAAGGCUUUUAUGGUCGAUUUAAUUGGUUUGUUCAUAAAAGCAAGAUUAAAAGGAACAGCUGGGGGUAUUCAUAUUCAAUAGUUAGAGGUGAAAUUCUCGGAUUUAUGGAAGAUGAACAAGUGCGAAAGCA